GAUGAACGCUGACAGAAUGCUUAACACAUGCAAGUCUACUUGAACUUCGGUUUGGGUGGCGGACGGGUGAGUAACGCGUAAAGAACUUGCCUCACAGUUAGGGACAACAUUUGGAAACGAAUGCUAAUACCUGAUAUUAUGAUUUUAGGGCAUCCUAGGAUUAUGAAAGCUAUAUGUGCUGUGAGAGAGCUUUGCGUCCCAUUAGCUAGUUGGAGAGGUAACGGCUCACCAAGGCGAUGAUGGGUAGCCGGCCUGAGAGGGUGAACGGCCACAAGGGGACGGAGACACGGCCCUUACUCCUACGGGAGGCAGCAGUGGGGAAUAUUGGACAAUGGACCAAAAGUCUGAUCCAGCAAUUCUGUGUGCAAGAUGACGUUUUUCGGAAUGUAAAGUGCUUUCAGUUGGGAAGAAAAAAAUGACGGUACCAACAGAAGAAGUGACGGCUAAAUACGUG
This 454-nucleotide ribosomal RNA is filed under the name uncultured bacterium. RNAcentral describes it as "partial 16S ribosomal RNA". It matches the Rfam family "Bacterial small subunit ribosomal RNA", at positions 28 to 507 of the family's 1533-position model. The record is from RNAcentral.